AGUUGGGAGGUUGCCUUGUAAUCGGAAGGUUGCCGAUUCGAGCCCCGGCUUGAACAGUCUCGGUCGUUGUGUCCUUGGGCAAAACACUUCACCCGUUGCCUACUGGUGGUGGUCAGAGGGCCCGGUGCCACCAGUGUCGGCAGCCUCGUCUCUGUCAGUGCGCCCCAGGGUGGCUGUGGCUACAAUGUAGCUUACCAUCACCAGUGUGUGUGUGUGUGUGUGUGUGUGUGUGUGAAUGGUUGGAUGACUGGAUGUGUAAAGCGCUAUACAAAUACAGGCCAUUUACCAUCAAAUAAAUAUCCAUGUAAAAUUGUUCAAAGUGACCAUUAUGUUCAUAGAUGUUAAAAAUACCUGAAAAUAAGAUGAGUUCAGUGACAGUUAGUGUUUGUUGUAAUCAAUUUAUUAAUAACAAAACACUUUUAAACUAAUGCAACACAUAUAACAAUGUCACAAAAUAUUCAAAUAAAUACAUUUCUUAAUGCAUAACUGAUUUUGGAACUGAUCUUUCAAGAAGUGAAAUCAGUCUGUCCAUCCUCUCCCUGAUCAAAUCGAUCGAUUCGGGACCUCGUGAAUCUGAAUCGAAUCGAUUCUAGAAACAGUUACAGCGUGAUGACUGGCAGGAGGCGAUCUCACCCUGUGUUUCUCUGCCUGUGGUAGAGGUGGAACCAGAUCAAGUGGAGCUGAUUCUUGAACAGCCUCAAGUCAGAGCUGGAUUGACCUUCUGUCACCAGGUACUGAUGAGCCCGCUGUGGAGAAACAUCACUGAUGAUGUUCAUAAAUCCCCAGCUGACUCUGGUAACCUUAAUACAGCACAGAAAAAAUGUCACAAUAAUCAUUUUAUGUUGUGAUUAUUGUGAUAAUAACAGAAACAGAUGCAUCUAUGUCAUUAUCUUUGAGCUUUUACACUUAACAUAAUUAUAAAAACAUGAGUAUAAAAGGUGUUACAACUCUGAUGCCAUCUUGGAAUACUGCACUUUGUUCAUGUCAUUACAACAUUUCUCUCUUUCUAAUCAUACAUCUAGAUGUUAUGUCAACACACAUUUAAUCUACAUUAUAAGAGUGCCUUUGUGAUAAAUGUUCUUAAAUUAACUGGUUAAAUAUUUAAUCUAACUAAACCCUAAAGACGGAGUCAGAAGACAACAGUCACCUGAAGGGGCUGAAAAUUGUAAAGACCCUACAGAACAAUCAGUAAAUGUGAGUAAAUCUGUGAUUCUGCGAGUAACACACUGGGUUCAGUUUGGAGGUUGAACUCUCACUCACCAGGCCGACAGCCGUCUGUGCCACAGUUAAACUCAUGCAGUGCUAAUUUAAAAACUCUCAAAUAUUUUGGACAAUUUAUAUUUUUCUAUCACAAUAAAUACAAGUCUUCAUUGAAGUAAACACACAGAGCAGUAGUCGAUGUUUUUUUAAAAUAUUAUUUUUCUUUAUUUUGAUUAGCCACCAACCGCAUUGUUUAUAUUUGUAGUUUUUGAAGUAUGGAGCACCACAAAAACUACAAAUAAAAAAAAACAAUCCAGCUAACCAAUUUUGUGCUCUCUACUAUCAGAACCUACCAAAUUGUAUCUCAGCCCUGCCCGACGGGCCGAUGGGCUGGGCUGAGAUGGAUUUUGGUAGCCCGACUGGAGAAAUCGCUAGCCCCGGGACGUCGGGCUAGCGAUUUUGCGAGCCCUGGUCAACCCCUCACUUGAAUUUUUGAAUUUCAGUUUAAGGCAAUUAAAUUCAAUCCAAAAAUUCAAUCCCAACAAUCAAGUGAUCCUCUAUGAGCAACAGUGGACAGGAAAAACUCCCUUUUAACAGGAAGAAACCUGUGACAGAACCAGGCUCAGGGAGGGGCAGUCUUCUGUCAUGACUGGUUGGGAGGUGAGGGCAAAAUAAAAUUGAACAUAAAGGAGAGCACAGAUUGUGGACCGUGGCUGGAAAAGAUUAUUACUGUUUUCAAAAGGCACCCGGUCCACAUCCACAACUACAGUAGGGCUGGAAUGGAUAAUAAGGAUAAUCCCACAGAGGACGGACACUCACUUCAGCAGAAAAUAGUUAAGAUGGCCCGAGUUAGAGGAAGAACCAUUUCUGGUGUGACAAGACAUUCACCUACUAGAAGUGCGAGUUGGACACCAGCACUCCACCAACCACUAGUCUGAGACUUGUCAGUAGGUGGUUCUGUGACAGGAGUAUUUCGUUCAUUCAACUCCCUUUCAAGGUUGUCGAUCCUAGUAAUAUUCAUUCUACAUGAAGAAAGUAGUUAAGAUGGCCCGAGCUAGAGGAAGAACAACUUCUGGUGUGACAAGACAUUCACCUACUAGAAGUGCGAGUUGGACACCAGCACUACACCAACCACUAGUCUGAGACUUGUCAGUAGGUGGUUUUGUGACAGGAGUAUUUCGUUCAUUCAACUUCCUUUCAAGGUUGUUGAUCCUAGUAAUAUUCAUUCUAUUUUGCUCCUGGAGAAGCUUUGCACGCUGAGCUAAUCUCUCAUUCUCUCUUUGCAACUGCUGCAGAGGCUCAAAGCUACUAGUCUCAAGAUCAUGUAUAGUUUUCCUGAGAGUCCUGUUCUCUUUCUGUAAUUGACGGGACUUAAUUGUAGCCUUGGCCAGAUCCACAGUGAGAAACGCUAUCUGUCGCGUAAAAUGUAAUUCCUUUGUAUUAUCUCUGUCCUUCGGUGAAUUAUUUAAUGUUUCCUCCGACAUUUCUUUAAUAGUAUAAAAGCACAGUGUCAAAAGAAAAAAAAACUUUGUAUGAAUUGUAUGAAAGUAUUAUCUUUGUCAAAGACAACUCGCUUUGCAAAAACAACUCGCUGUUUCUGAAGACGUACCAAACUGUGUUAUAGCACCUCUAUUUAUGCACUCCUGUGGCAGAGAUGGUGACGUCGAAACUGUGACGGUGACAUCACGUCACACUCUCCUUUGAGAAGAUCAAAGAAGCGCUCCGUAUCAUUCCGCGCAUGCUCAGAUCAUGCGUAUUGAAAUGAACGGGAUAUUUAUUUAUUCAUUUUUAUUUUUAUUCAUUCAUAUUACGGCAAUAUUUUUUCAUGGUUUUUAUGGUCACUGUAGUAUUAAUUUCUUAAAGUUCUCUCUUUCGCUUAUAUUUAAUAUAACCACACUACGGAUGGACAAGCGACUGCUUUUAUGCGUUGUCGUUAGCAACAGCGACGGUAAAACCAUACGCUGGGGAAAGAGGGGGAGAUUACCCACAAACUGAACAGGACAAGAUUUACUACAGUAGCUGAAGAAUCCGCUGCAAAAGGCACAAGAUAAAUGACAGGUUUCACGUCUCACCAAUGACUGUAUAAAAGAUGGGGGGGCGUGCGAAGAUGGCGGAGUGAGUAGACGCUCUCUACCGAGGUCUGCACAGAAAGUUCGUGAACAACGGUUACCAGAGUCAGCUGGGGAUUCAUGAACAUCAUCAGUGAUGUUUCUCCACAGCGGGCUCAUCAGUACCUGGUGACAGAAGGUCAAUCCAGCUCUGACUUGAGGCUGUUCAAGAAUCAGCUCCACUUGAUCUGGUUCCACCUCUACCACAGGCAGAGAAACACAGGGUGAGAUUGCCUCCUGCCAGUCAUCACGCUGUAACUGUUUCUAGAAUCGAUUCGAUUCAGAUUCACGAGGUCCCGAAUCGAUCGAUUUGAUCAGGGAGAGGAUGGACAGACUGAUUUCACUUCUUGAAAGAUCAGUUCCAAAAUCAGUUAUGCAUUAAGAAAUGUAUUUAUUUGAAUAUUUUGUGACAUUGUUAUAUGUGUUGCAUUAGUUUAAAAGUGUUUUGUUAUUAAUAAAUUGAUUACAACAAACACUAACUGUCACUGAACUCAUCUUAUUUUCAGGUAUUUUUAACAUCUAUGAACAUAAUGGUCACUUUGAACAAUUUUACAUGGAUAUUUAUUUGAUGGUAAAUGGCCUGUAUUUGUAUAGCGCUUUACACAUCCAGUCAUCCAACCAUUCACACACACUCACACACUGGUGAUGGUAAGCUACAUUGUAGUCACAGCCACCCUGGGGCGCGCUGACAGAGACGAGGCUGCCGACACUGGUGGCACCGGGCCCUCUGACCACCACCAGUAGGCAACGGGUGAAGUGUUUUGCCCAAGGACACAACGACCGAGACUGUUCAAGCCGGGGCUCGAAUCGGCAACCUUCCGAUUACAA
Long non-coding RNA from Oreochromis niloticus (Nile tilapia), 4136 nucleotides. RefSeq lists it as uncharacterized. The transcript is spliced from 2 exons. The record is from RefSeq and is a predicted model, not a curated record. Lineage: Eukaryota; Metazoa; Chordata; Actinopteri; Cichliformes; Cichlidae.